This 637-nucleotide ribosomal RNA is filed under the name Klebsiella pneumoniae. RNAcentral describes it as "partial 23S ribosomal RNA". It matches the Rfam family "Bacterial large subunit ribosomal RNA", at positions 323 to 961 of the family's 2925-position model. Lineage: Bacteria; Pseudomonadati; Pseudomonadota; Gammaproteobacteria; Enterobacterales; Enterobacteriaceae. The record is from RNAcentral.
GUCGAGAUAGAAGAACAAGCUGGGAAGCUUGACCAUAGUGGGUGACAGUCCCGUAUUCGAAAUCUCAACAGCGGUACUAAGCGUACGAAAAGUAGGGCGGGACACGUGAAAUCCUGUCUGAAUAUGGGGGGACCAUCCUCCAAGGCUAAAUACUCAUCAUCGACCGAUAGUGAACCAGUACCGUGAGGGAAAGGCGAAAAGAACCCCGGGAGGGGAGUGAAACAGAACCUGAAACCUGAUGCAUACAAACAGUGGGAGCGCCCUAGAGGUGUGACUGCGUACCUUUUGUAUAAUGGGUCAACGACUUACAUUCAGUAGCGAGCUUAACCGAAUAGGGGAGGCGUAGGGAAACCGAGUCUUAAUAGGGCGAUGAGUUGCUGGGUGUAGACCCGAAACCGAGUGAUCUAUCCAUGGCCAGGUUGAAGGUGCCGUAACAGGUACUGGAGGACCGAACCCACGCAUGUUGCAAAAUGCGGGGAUGAGCUGUGGAUAGGGGUGAAAGGCUAAACAAACUUGGAAAUAGCUGGUUCUCUCCGAAAACUAUUUAGGUAGUGCCUCGUGUCUCACCUUCGGGGGUAGAGCACUGUCAUGGUUGGGGGGUCUAUUGCUGAUUACCCCGCCAUAGCAAACUCCGAAU